RNAcentral lists this small nuclear RNA (107 nucleotides) under Pongo abelii (Sumatran orangutan). The record is from RNAcentral. Lineage: Eukaryota; Metazoa; Chordata; Mammalia; Primates; Hominidae.
GUACUUGUUUCAGCAACACAUAUUUAAAAGUUGGAUCAAUACAGAGUAGAUAAGCAUGGCUGCUGCCUAAGGAUGGCACACAGAUUCAGAAAGCAUUCCAUAUUUUG